This is a non-coding RNA of Pelobates cultripes (western spadefoot toad), 216 nucleotides long. NCBI's taxonomy places the organism in Eukaryota, Metazoa, Chordata, Amphibia, Anura, Pelobatidae. The record is from the annotation of a GenBank genome assembly.
GGGAUUCCAUUAUAAGAGGUGUGGAGAUGGACAAUGGUGGUCUUGUGAGGUGUUUUCCCGGAGCUACUGCUCACAGAGACAGGAGACGUAUCUGUAAUAUUGUUAAGCAAGCAAAGCAGGAAGGGGAAUUGGAUGUACUUGUCCAUCUAGGGACAAAUGACUUGGCUUGCAAUGAGGUUUCAGAGGUUAAGGAAGUUUUUAGUGUUUUUGCCAAUG